UGGAACUGCACGUGGUUUUUGUUUGUCACUUCCUGGUUUUCAACAAGUGCACUGACACAGGUCGCAUCAAUCUGGCGAGACCAACUCGGAGCACUUUGCCACCAACCUGCUCUGACAAUUCUGGACUCUCUGGACAAAAUGAUGGGAGACAGUGUUGAUGUCAAGGCUUUGAGGGCCAGGUUCAGCAGCAGCACCAGCGCGUCGCACACGAGCAGCCGGGACAGUAAUUCUCCAAAAUCACCUCGGCGUGGUGUUGGCAGAGCCAUGCCAUCAACACCAGAGAAGGACAUUUUCCGGCCUAGAAUGUCUCCUGCAGUGCUUCCACAUGUGGCUGAUCCAGAUGUAGCAAUGGUAGCCCCCAUCCAGUCCGAGACAGUUUUAUUCCCUCACUCACCUUCUCAUACAGGAGUCAGAGAAGUGGUACAGUCUUCACGUGGUAAUAAGAUUAAACAGACGGGUGAGAUGCUCGAAAAUUUGAUGCUGAGGGGGGCUGCGGGUACCAGAGUCCCCCUUCCAGCUCCAAGAUUGACUGCUCUCCCCCCACCGCGACUGAGGAGCGCAAUCGACGUCAUUCCAUUGAGAAAGCCACUUCCCCCUGAUGGACCCCUUCCCUUGAAACCCAAACGACCACACAAUGUUGACCUCAAGCAAUUUUUCAACAUCGGCCAGCGAGCUAGGCCACUUCCUGCCUCGGGGACAAGAGAAGGCUCAGAAACAAGACAAAUAUCUUUGUCUGGAGUGACUAGUACACCAAAUCCUCCUUCACAACUGAUCAAUUACAGCGGGCUGCAGAAUCAGGUUACCUCUGUGGAAGUUGACAUCUACCAUGAUGAUUAUGAUGACAUUGCAAACUUGGAGGACCAAGAUGACUAUGAUGAUCUAUCAAGUGAGGAUUUUCCACCGCCACCACCACCACCACCACCUGACAUUAGUGUUGACGCCAUUGUGGAAAAGGAACUGAGGAAAAAAUUCAAGUACAAGGGUCCACUCAGAGUGUUGCAGACCGUGAUGAUCAAUCCCAACGGUGUCAUGAAGAAGGCAGGAAGGAAGGACCUCCAUGUGUCUCCAGGGGAUGUCGUCGACAUCAUCCAGCUCACCAAAAGCAAGAAAGCUCUUUGCCACAAUCGCAGAUCAGGAAAAUGUGGCUAUGUAUCCAGAAAGCUUCUCGUUCGGCUGUGAGUUAAUGUUACUUUGCAACUUUCAUUCAUGUGGAUCUCGUAACACAUCUAUUAUAAGCUUCAUUAAUGAUUAUUGUUCUUUAAAAAACAAGUUAUUGAUGCUGAUGUAGUCAAUGGGUCGUGUGGCGAAGAAAUUAAAAAGACUCAUCAAAGGAAACUUGAAUGAAGAUUGGGUGAUUGAUUGCAUUGAUAUUUAUCUUAUUCGUUUCCAGGGAAGAAGACUUUUAUGACCAUUAUGUCAGUGAACCACAUGAAAACGACUAUGAGGACACUGAUUAUUAAUCCAUGUCAAAUUAAACCCAGAUAAAGAGAUGCAUACCGAUGUAGAGAUAAAUGGAUGGAAACAGACUACAGUAUAUUAAAACUAAAUGAACCUGAGAACCAAAACUGCUUGCUAGAGAGUUGUAUUGUUUAUAAACUGGGAGGGGGAGGGGGGCAUCAAUCUUUCAUCGAACCUAUCAAAUGAAGGAAACUGUAGAUGUAAUCACUCAAGGUUGUUGUACAUAAUAUGGACUCUAUUGUAGAUUUUGCUUGCCUUGAACUCUGAGAUAAUUUUUAAUAAACCCUGCUAUUUAAAUAAA
Molecule: RNA transcript, 1759 nt
Organism: Hippocampus zosterae (dwarf seahorse)
Lineage: Eukaryota; Metazoa; Chordata; Actinopteri; Syngnathiformes; Syngnathidae
Gene name: PML-RARA-regulated adapter molecule 1
Exons: 10
Source: RefSeq, a predicted model, not a curated record